GAGAACCUAUCAGAGAGCACUGGGUGUAAGGUACUACUCUCCUAUUGGCUGCUGUUGGAAUCAGACACAUCUUCAUUCUUCUUCCAUCCAGCCUGCUUUAACAUCCAAGCCCCAGGCAAGUGUCAGAAUUGUAGUCCAUGUCUUUUGUGUGUGUGUGUAUGUGCACGUUCAUUUCCCUGUGUGCGUGAGAGUGUGCACGUGUGUGUGUGUGCAUGUGUGUGUGUGUUGGCACUUUAGUGUGUGUGUGUGAGUGGAGUGUGCAGGUGUGUAUGUGUGCGGUAAACAUCUUAUAGACAGUGCUUAGAUACUGAGAACACUAACCCUCCUCCAAGCCUGGCCCAGACACAGACACAGUGUUGGGAAUGCUGGCAGAUUUCAAGGUAGUGUCUUCUUCCAGCUACUUCAGCAGGACAUCAUCUCAUUAUGAAUGAAAGAGACUGGCUACACCACAGUAAGCUUUAUGCAUGGAUUUGUAAUGGUGCUCACAUUUGUAACAAUGAUUUCUCACUGGCUUGCUCUAACUCUUAUUUAUUCCAGUCAUGCAUUUUAUACAACACUCGAGUGAAAUUCAGAUUUAACACCACACCAAAAUAAUACACUCAAUGAUCACACUUUAAAAAACGUGUUUGUUUUUUCCUCUUAUUCAUGUAGCGGCUGAUGUUGUUAUUACACCCCUGACAAUGGGAUUGAUGGAUGUGAAGUGGACCUGGUCAUUGAAGUGCGUUAGCAGAUCCCAGUAUGUCCCCUAGUAUUGUGAACAAGGGAUGAAACGGAGAGAAAAAAAGGUCUGAUGAGUUUGGCAAAGGGAGGACGGAGGGGGAGACAGAUGGCAUGAAGUCUGCAUGGCUCUGGCCUGGCGCUGAAAUCCUCCUCUCUCACAUUCCAACAAAUCCUAGCAGGAGGCUGGGGAGUCUGCCACGCCACUCAGUGGGUCCACAGGGUUCUCUCUGCAUCUCUCUCCUCGCUCCCCUGCACCCCCCGAUGAUGCAAGUGUUGCUGUCAGAGGAGUCCUGCUCUACAAUCCCUAUUUCAUAUAAGAGGAGUCUCUACUCUCAUCCCAAUCAUAAUGCUAUCGUCGCGGCCUCCCGGGUGGCACAGUGGUCUAAGGCACUGCACCGCAGUGCCAGAUGUGCCACCAGAGAUUCUGGGUUUGAGUCCAGGCUCUGUCGCUGCCGGGCGCGACCGGGAGGCCCAUGGGGCACAAUUGGCCUAGCGUCGUCCCUGUUAGGGAGGGUUUGGCCGUCAGGGAUGUCCUUGUCCCAUUGUGCACUAGCGACUCAUGUGGAGGGUCUGGGCGCAGUGAACGCUGAUCAGGUCGCCAGGUGUAUGGUGUUUCCUCCGACACAUUGGUGCGGCUGGCUUCCGGGUUGGAUGGGCAGUGCGGCGUGGUUGAGUUGUGUUUUGGAG
Molecule: long non-coding RNA, 1407 nt
Organism: Oncorhynchus kisutch (coho salmon)
Lineage: Eukaryota; Metazoa; Chordata; Actinopteri; Salmoniformes; Salmonidae
Exons: 4
Source: RefSeq, a predicted model, not a curated record